This 492-nucleotide ribosomal RNA is filed under the name uncultured bacterium. RNAcentral describes it as "partial 16S ribosomal RNA". It matches the Rfam family "Bacterial small subunit ribosomal RNA", at positions 29 to 507 of the family's 1533-position model. The record is from RNAcentral.
AGUGAACGCUGGCGGUAGGCCUAACACAUGCCAGUCGAACGGCAGCACAGUAAGAGCUUGCUCUUACGGGUGGCGAGUGGCGGACGGGUGAGGAAUACAUUGGAAUCUACUUUUUCGUGGGGGAUAACGUAGGGAAACUUACGCUAAUACCGCAUACGACCUACGGGUGAAAGCAGGGGAUCUUCGGACCUUGCGCGAUUGAAUGAGCCGAUGUCGGAUUAGCUAGUUGGCGGGGUAAAGGCCCACCAAGGCGACGAUCCGUAGCUGGUCUGAGAGGAUGAUGAGCCACACUGGAACUGAGACACGGUCCAGACUCCUACGGGAGGCAGCAGUGGGGAGUAGUGGACGAUGGGCUCAAGCUUGAUCCAGCCAUACCGCGUGGGUGAAGAAGGCCUUCUGGUUGUAAAGCCCUUUUGUUGGGAAAGAAAAGCAGCAGGUUGACAACCCGCUGUUCUGACGGUACCCAAAGAAUAAGCACCGGCUAACUUCGUG